AAAGAAUAAAUUUGGGUUCAAGCGACCCAUUUUUAAGUGUAAUUUCCGGACCUAGCCCAUAAUUUCCAAGCCCAUAAUUCCUAGGCCCAUACCCCUAACCUAAUCCCUACCCCUAUAUAAUAUUAUCUAAUCCCUAAAUUGACCUACACCUAAAAGACCUAAGCCUCCCAUCGUUUCUCAUCAGCAAAGAAACCCCACCCCCCUAACAUCUUCUUCUUCUUCAGUUUUUGACAACCAAAACCAAAAACCUUGAACACCCAUAAGCAACCAGCCGCCAAGAAAAAAAAACAGAACGCCCUCCAUCAUCCUCUCAUCAUCUGUCGCAACUCCACCAUCUCCGUUUCCUAACUCGCCGGAGAAGCAAUGAAAACCGGCCAAAAACUCCACUGAAACCAGCCAAGAAAAGCUUCAAAAUUGCAGAAAUUUUCAGCCAAAAAACAGCACCAAAAAUACCUCCAAACCAGCCCUGAAAACCAAUCUAUAAAACAUCCAAAUAAAACACCAUAGCUACUGCAAAAUCAGCUAUUUAGAGCCACGAAAUCAGUCCAAAAACAACAGCUUUUAAGCAACCCAGUAGUUGAGUUUCUGACCAAGGUCGUUUUCGAGGUCACCGUCGAGGUUAUACUCGAUCGAUUCUGUUCCGAUCAAGAUCUAAUAUCGCGCUCAUAGUUGCUAUUGUAACCCGUUUACACUGAAGAAAUAAAGGUUCGUCUCAGUCCUGUUUGCUCCAUCUGAAUGUUUGGACUUAAACUUUUCUACUUUAGAAUUUUGAAGUGUAUUUGUUAUGGGUUGGUUGAUGGAUAUUGCUUAUUCUUUUUGUUAUUUUUAUUUUAUAUAGUGAAUCCAUUCUUAGUUUGAGAUCUUUGUGAUGACUAUACUGAUUUUCUGUUUCUUGUUAUUAGUUUUAUAAUUGCAAUUUAGUAGUAGCAAUUUAGUUUUACAAGUCUAAUUUGUCAAGCCUUAUUGAUUUUAGUCGGGAAAAUUUGGUGCUAGAAAGCUGUGACUUAGCUAAAACAUUUAUAUAUAGUUGCAAUUUGGAAAAUACAAAGUUUUCUAAACACUAUCGUGGUGGGGCCUCACUGUCUCUUUUGAUUUCCAUGUCUUCAAAUUAAUUGUUCUUCUUUUGGCUUGGUCUUUUCUCUUUCAUUUCUUUUGGAUGAUAGACCAAAUGAGCUAAAAGUCAAUUAGCACGCAUGAAUAUUUACUUGAUACAUUACUGUUUGAGUACAAUUUUUGCAUUAUUGAGAUACUUUAAGUGGAAUGAAAGGAGUAGAAAUCUGAAAGGAUUAUUGAUGUAAAGUAAAUGUCAUUGUAGGCUCCUGUUUGUUGGAUUAAGUGCGUAAUAGUUCAAGUUGUUUUUAUAAGUUAUGUGGUGUUAAAUUGGAAUGGCCAUUGGGCCUAACCCUUCGGUAGAAUGUUGAUCUCAAACUUAGGAAUAUAAUCACUCUUGAAUAUCGUAGCUGGCUUUAGGCGCGAUUUAAUAUAUUGUCGUGAUUGUGUACACGUUCGCGUGACAUAAUUACGAUCCUAAAAUAAAUCGAGGGAUGCUUUCGCGCAACUUCAACAAAGCUUUUCUUAAAAAAUAAACAAAGCGUUAUUAAUUGUGGACACGUUCGCGUGACAUGAUUUUUGACGCGCCAAAGGAAAAGAGUAUACAUACACGUAACUCACUUCUUUAAUUACGAACAAAUCAAGUGAUUUAAAAGCGAUAAAAAGAUAAAUGAACAUAGGUCCUAAAAAUGAGUAGUUAAACAAUUUAAGCCAAUUAAUAAUCACUAAGUGACCGUGCUAGAACCACAAAACUCAGGAAUGCCUAAUACCUUCUCCCAAGUUAACAGAAUUCCUUAUCUAGAAUUUCUGGUUCCCAGACUUUAUAAAAUAAAAUUUUCCUCGAUUUGGGAUUUUAAAAUAAACCGGUGACUUGGGACACCAAAUAAACUAUUCCAAGUGGCGACUCUGAUAAUUUAAAUAAUCUCAUUUCGAAUAAUGUCACUUAAAUUGGAAAAAUUCCCUCAUAUACUCCCUCGGGUGGUAAAAGUGUGAUAGUUGUGAAAUGGUGGAAUAAGGGAGGAUUUUGAUAUUGAUUAUAAUGAUAUGGUGGGAUCGGUUUGCCCGCCAUAACGGUUGUGUACGUAAUACUUGAUAUUGAUAAAUUAUGACAUGGUGAAAUAAGGGAAGAUUAUGACAUUGAUUAUAAUGAUAUGGUGGAAUCGGGUUGCACGAUGCAACAGAUGUUAUAUGUGUUCUUGAUAUUGAUAAAUGAUGCUAUGGUGAAUUAAGGGAGGAUUGUUUGUGUAAAGUGGGAUCGAGUUGUACGUCGCAACAAAUUAUGUAUGUUGUAAUCAUUGUUAUUGUGUUGGUUUCCAGCAUUUUUACGAGAAAUUAUGAGAUCGGUUAUUCUGUGUUCUCUGAUUGCAAGGAUUAAGUUCUUUUUCUUAAGUUAACUGCCUUACUUUCUUUUCCUGCACUGCACGCCGCAGGGGUUAUUAUAUUGUACCUAUUGAGCGUGAGUGCUGAGUAUGAGCGCUGAUUAAUAAGAGUUGAGUCAUGAGUGACUGAGAGGCUUGCCCGAUGGGCUAUAUAUACAUGUAUACGAGUGAUGCUUUGCUUGAGGGGCCUGUUUAUGUACUUCUUGGUUUCACUCCUCUUUAAAGUGAGUUUCUAUUGAAUAUGUUGAUUUAAUUACUGCUUUCACUCAUUUUUUAGACGGAGCCUCUAUUGAAAAUGUUGAACAAAUGCUUUAAACAACUUUCAUUUAAACUGAAGUUUUUAAGUUAUGAAAUGGUUAUGAAUUUCUGUUUCGCCGAGGGGCUGUAUAUGAACUAUGUUUUGCCCGAGGGCCCGAUUAUGAUUUUCAUCACUUUCACUAUAAAUUUCACUGAACUUCUACUGAAAAUUGUUAGAAAGGCAUUUUCAAAGGAUAUUUCCCGAAAUGGGAGUUGAACGAGAUGAUUUGGUUUGUAUCCUGUUUUGAAAACAUGCAGUAUCCUCUAUGGUGCCAUGAUGUGGUUUUACGUGAUUUCUUACUGCUAAGACUUUAUUUACUUUUAUUACUUACUGAGUUGGAGUAAUCACAUUACUCCCUGCACCUUGUGUGCAGAUUCAGGUAUUCCGGAACCCGGUAGCGGGUGUUGAUUGCUUAGAGGCAGAGUCACCGAAGUUAGCAAGGUGGCUGCACGACGUUCGCAGCACUGCUUUCCUUCCUCUUGUUUUCAUUAGACUGUAUUUAGUAUACUUUUAGACUCUUGUUAUAUUCAGAACUUUGUAGAUGCUCGUGACUAGUGACACCUCGAUGUCGGACUUGUGUAUUUAUUCUGUACUUUUCAUUUCAACUUACACCGAGACUAUUGAUUUAUAAAUGGUAUAUAAAUAAUUGUUAUUGAAUAAUGGUUGAUUUGGGAGUUGUGUCGGUUGACUUAGUUUCACGAAGGCGCCAUCACGACUAGGUCGGUGCUUGGGUCGUGACACCAAUAAUAAUAUAUUAAUAAUGCGAAUAAUCAUGGAUUUAUUAAAAUCGGCAGUAAACUCAAGUAAGUCAAGAAACAAGUAAACAUUCCUUUUUAUAUUUAGAAGUCUCCAAAUUCAUAAUUCAUUAUUUAUCAAUUUAUCAGACCAGGGAGGCAAUAUCAAUUUGGAAAUCUCAAGCAAGCAUUACAAGCAUGCACAAAUCAUGCCGAGGUUAUACAGCCCAAUCCAACAAAUAUUUAGAUUGUGCACUGCCAGAGGGUCGAAUGGCGCGAACCUUUCAUCUACAAACUUUGGGUGAGUGAUUCUAAUCCAUUUCUAAUCAUAUUCCAUCAAUUUAUCUUGGAUUUUAACAUCAAAAUCAUUUGAAUCAAAGUGAAAAUUUGUGAAACCUUGUCAAGUUUAUGAAAAAUAAGAAAUUGAGUUUUGAGAGUCGAUUUGCACUCGAAUUUUGAAACUAAUGACAUAUAUGAACUCGUGGAUUCGUGGGUAGUCGGAAUCUAUUAUUGGACUCGGGUUUUGACCGGGCGAGCCCCGGGUUGACUGUUGUUGACUUUUUGGGAAGAGUGUAAAGAUCUAGUUUUAUCUAUUGUAAUUGAUUUCCCUAGAAUUUUUGAUGAUAUUAAGUCGAUUUUGGUUAGAUUCGGUUGGUCUGAGGAAAUGCCCCGGUUGAGCUUUGAUUUGAGGGAAUUUUGAACCCUUGAACUAUAUGUUAUGUGAAUUACGUGUUAAAUUCUCCUUAGGUAGCACGUAGUUGCUACCUCGUUAAAAACCUUGCCGGUUAAACCCAUUUGGAACAAAAUCCAAUUUAAGGGAAAAAGAGUGCAAUGCAUGCUUUAAAAUCUAAGGUCUUUGUGUAAAUGAUGAUGCCUUCGAGAUCGUAUGCCUUCGAUAGCUUCGAUCGAAAAUUUGUAAUGAGUUAGUUCUAAACUUAAAUAGACAAGGAUAAAAUCAUACCUGAGCAGUAGUACCGGUUGAGUUAUGAUAUGUUCCAAUUGUUUGGCAGUUGUUCACCUCCCAUUGUGCUAAGUUUGUAAGGUCCUUUAACAACAACUCCGAGGACUCGGUACGGUCCUUCCCAGUUGUUGAUACCCAAUUUUUCCCUAUAUAUAUUUUUAAUAGAUAUAAAUACUUUCAAAAUAGCGUAUAUGCAUAUAUAAGCAUGCAUAAGCAUUUUAUAAUUUUUUCUAUAAUUUUAAAGGCUUCAAAUUGAUUUAUUCCCCCCCCUUUUUACUCAUAAAAUCUCCAAUAAUUAUCUUUCAAAUUAUAUUUGUGGCGAUUUAGCCAUCUAAAUUCUGUAUUUAUGCCAAAAUAUUGUUAAAAUAUUUUGGUGCAUUUUUUAAUAAUUGCAUUUGCAUUUUCUAAGCUAAUUUGCAUAUAUUUCCAAUACUAGCCCUAUUAAUGCAUAAUUACAUUUAUAUGCAUAAAAUAAUUUUCUAUAUUUUUAAAAUGUUAAAUAGCUAUUUUAAAUUAUUUUAGUACAUGAAAUUAUUUUUUAGAAAUCAUUUAUAAUUUAUUAUAAAUUAUAUAAUAUUAAAUUGGCUAUUUAAAACAUAGCCAAAUUAUAUUUCAAUUUUAGCCUAAAUUCAACCCAAUACCCAGCCCAAUUCCUUAUUAAAUUACCUGACCUAUGCCCUAAAUACACUUACCCGACCCAAGAACCCAUCAGAUCAUGGCCGUUGAUCUUCGUUAAAACUUGCCUUUUUAAUUCCAAACGACCCCACCCCUAAUCAUUUCAACCCACCCCGCCGCCCUAAGGUCCUCUCUACUCUCAAAACACUCUCAACCUAACCCUAAUCUUCCAACUCCAAUUUUCCAUCUCCAGCUAUCUCCGGUGACCUCUCAUCGUCUCUUACACCUCCAAUGGCUUCUCUCAUGCCAUUAUCGCCUUCUCUAAGGUCCUCAAGGGCCCAGGGCCAUGCCGACUUGCAUCUAGGGUUAAUCUCCUGCCUGUUCCUAUCUAUUCCAGUGUGAUUCCAACUAGAAUCAUUCUAUGUUUUCUACGAUCCUUGGGAUUCUAGACAGGUUUCUUCAUAUCUAUAUGGGUUUCUUUCGAAACCCUAAUUUCUUUUCUACACACCUCCUAGAUCUACACAGAUCUAGGACGAUUUGAGUUUGUUUCUUGAAUGUUUUACACUAUCCUUGAGUUUCUUUACAAGAAUCAUGUGAUUUCAAGUGUUUUUCAUCUUCUUCUAAAAAUAGGGUUUUUGGAACUUCUUUAUAAAACCUUGUCUAACUGAUUUUUUGUGUUUAAACUUCUAUUACUCUGGUCAAAAUUGUGAAUGCAUCAUAGUCAAACCUAGUCGGAUCAAUAUGAUGUCCACAUAAUGAUCCUUUAAGAUAAUCCUUAUCCAAAAGCACAUCGGAUUUUCCAUAAUCCCAACUGACACAACCAUGUGGAACCAUCCUCCUUUCUCACAAACAAAACAGGUGCUCCCCACGGUGACGCACUAGAUCUGAUAAAACCUUUUUCAAGCAAGCCCCUUAGUUGUUACUUUAACUCGUUCAGCUUUGCGGGGGCCAUUCUAUAAUGGGGAAUAAAUAUUGGAUGAAUAUCUUAUAGUAGUAGGUCAAUGACAAGCUCAAUUUCUCGCUCUGGCGGAAGACUCGAAAGUUCAUCGGGAAAAACAUCGGAAAACUCAAUAACUACAGGAAAGAACUGAAUGGUUGGUAACUCUACAAACCCAAACUCAGUGAUAAAUAUAGUCCUUUCUGAUUAUCUUUCUUGCCUUGAGAUAGGAGAUAAAUUUACCUCUUGUCAAUACGGUAUUACUUUUCCAUUCCAAAACAGGCUCUCCUGGAAAUUGAAAUCAAACCAUCUUUGAUCCACACUUGAUGUUAGCAUAACAAAAGGCCAAUCAAUCCAUACCUAUUAUGAUAUCAAGUCCUACCCAACCGAACACCACGUAUCUUAUCCUUGUUUAUUAUCAAACCUAGUACGGGCCAUUUCAGGCCACAUCCAUAUAUAUAGGUAACAAUAUUAAAACAUAAUUGCAUAACUAAUUUACAAAAAGGUUUAUAUACAUAGGGGUCGACUAGGCCGUAGACAUAUCAUACCCAAAACUAUAUACAUGAUAAUGUCUGCAAAACCUCUAAGUAGGCAUAAUCAUAAUAUAUACAAGUCGGGACGAGGCUCCCUACGUCCUCAUAAAACAACCUAACACAUUUAGAACCCUGACUUGUCAAUAUUCCAAGAAGAUGUGGAACUCAUCAACCAAAAACUGACACUUGGAGGAAGUCUAAAGUAUAGGGUCCUUGCCUCGUCCUAUAUAAAAACCUCGAUCAGACACACUUCGAAGCGGAAUCUUCAUAUCCUUAUCGGUUACCUUCCUCCUCUUGGCCCGACUACUAUCCUCUUCCUAUGCAUAUCCUAUAACAUACACUGGCGAACCUUGAUUGAUGGACUCCCAAGACUAUGGACUAUCUUGAACCUCAGAAGAGCUGGUGUCCGCAAAUGCCUUGACAUAGUUUUGAGCCUGAGGGAAACCCGGUUGUGCCAAUCCAUGCACUACUCCCCUCAUAGCCUUAUCAAUGGGCUGUGAUAAUGAAACUAAGGGCCUUGGCGAGGUUGGAACUCCUCUCACCCCAUCUGCUGCCGGAGUGGUGGAAACAGCUCGAACGGAUGACUCAUAUGGACCCUCAGAUGGAUCCUCCUCAAUAGAAACCAUGAAGUAUAACUUAUAUCUCUUUCUAACACCUUCGUAGCCUUCUGACCCAUGCUAGCAGCUGUAGUCUUCGAAGGCAUCGCUAAAAACGUAACACAUCGCUAGGAACAUGAAUGCUUAUAUCGCACGAUCUAAGAUAAAAAGAGAGGAUAGCAUCUUAUAUGUCCGGUAGCCUCCUAUCUAUAAGUGUGGUGCACAACACACCUAUAAGAAAAACUCUACUAGACACAGUCUGUAGACAACCCUAGGACAGAACUGCUCUGAUACCACUUUUGUCACGACCCAAACCGAUGGGCUGCGACAGGUGCCUGAGUCUUACCUGUCAAACACCCCUAAGCAUGCAUCUAAGACAUGAACCCGAAUAACAUCUACUGAAUUAUGAAAAUAACAUACAUGAAAGAAACCUGCCUACAAGGCAUAUGUACGUAUACAUGCAAAAUACAGUGGGCGAGCCGGUAAUGCUGCUAUAGACAACUAUACAUCCAGAACUAAAAGCCGACAAGGCCACAUACAACCCAACAAGACAUGCUGACAAUAGACCUCCAAUAGAAACCUAACUAUACAAAGAUAGGACUAAGCCAUGUCAUACACAUAUACAUAUAUAAACAUAUCAUAACAAAAUAAAAAGCAGCUCCGGAUCAAGUGGAGCACGCCAACUCUCGCUGAUCAGGGAUCCUAAGAAGAGGGACCGUCAGCUUGCCUACCUGCACCUGCGAGCAUGAAAUGCAGGCCCCGUGAAAUAGGGCAUCAGUACAAAAAAUGUACUGAGUAUUUAAGGCAUGAAAAUUAUUACGUAAAAGAUUGACGAAAAAUAGAAUAAAGAAACACAUUUUGAAAUUUGAAUAACUUUGUAAAUUCUGAAACGUUUAUAAUGUCAUGCAUGUGCAUAUAAAUGUCGUGUCAUGCAUAGGUAUGAGUGUACAUAAUAUUAUCAAUCCACUGAGGGCAUCCCAUCAUAUCGUCUCGACCACUGUGGGCAACAUCAUCAACAUAUACCAGCUGAUCAGAUGGUGGUGCAUAUAUAAUACCGUAACCUUUUUCCAUAUUCCAUAUACAUAUAUUUAAAUAUAUACGCGUAUAUAACGUCAUCUGGUCAUGGGUAAAUGCAUAUGUAUAAAUGGGUGAAAUGCAUGAAAAAUACGUAAUAAUAUCAAUAAUCCUUCCGAAUAAACUUUUUCAACUACGUAUUAUUCUGAGACCCAUGAACAGAAGAUAAUAAUAAUUUUCAUGGGGAAUCAAGAAUAUAGACACCCCAAAUAUUUUUAUGAAUAGAGUAAUUUGUGGAAACUAUGCGUUUGCUCGUUUCUUCGUUAUAAUUUGGACCAUGCGAAAACAAAGAAGGGAUGGCCUUAACAUACUUGGAGUAGGAAAAACUCCGUAUAAUAUUCCUGGCGAAGACUGCACCAUACUCUUUUAGAAGCUUGAAAUUUGCUUCAACAGAAUUUAGCUACGGACCAUGUGAAAUUAUCUUUUGAUUCCUUAGAAUCUCGAACGAAAUUUGCUUCAAACUUUGCUUCUGUUCUAACGCUUUGUGAACCCAAGAUGGAAUGGAUUCAAUCUAAAUGUCAAACUUUAUUCCAACGUUUUGUUGAAGUUUCUUUUGUUUCUAGCUUUUGAAUGGAAUUGAAUACUAAAUUGUUAUAUCACAUUUAUAGGUUGUUCAGAUUCCUACAAUGAGAUAAAGACUUAGAAGUCUUAUCUUGAUAAAGUUAAGCUUUAUUUAUUUCUUAGGUGUAGACACCUAUUCACAAUUUGUUUUGAGACAUCUUUUAAAUUGGUGGACUUGUACCACAUGGAGAGUGGGAUAAAGAUUAGUAAUCUUUACCCACUUAUUAGUUAACUGGGUAAUGUCCCGUUAUCCGGUAAUUAACCAACUACCCGCAUAAUUUAAAAAUUACCCCAAAUUACUUAGAAUUCUAAUUAUUAUUAUUAUUUUAUUAUUAUACGUUAUAUAUACUUUAUACAUUGUAUUACCAUGGUCAUAUGGUACCUUGCAUGGUACUAGUUCAUAAUUAUCGGGUAUUAUUGCUCGACCCGUAUUUUUUCCCAAAUUGGCCACUUUUAAUGAAACUCGCUUUCUUUAAUUCGUGUACCCUUUAUCCUUCAUGACACUUCUUUAUCGCUUGUUAUAAAUAGCGUAAAUACGUUAACAUCAAGAUGAUCUCAUACCCAAGUCUACGUUAAUUAACUGAAGACCAUACUUUUAACGUACGAAAACACGAGAUGUAACAGCGGGUGUUAUAGAUUUUGACGUAUAAAUUUCUAAGGCCCUUGAGUUGGAGUUAGCGGCACAAAGAGGUCUUCCGACCAGGCCUGAUUCUACCGAUUCUUCUGGUUCUAAUUCUGAGUUCUCGGGAACUUGAGAGGAACCGGAAGGUGAUGAUGUUGAGGGCCAAAAUGAUGAAGGCCAAGAUAUCGAACCGGCGACGGAUCUACCCACUUCCUUUGGGGGCGCAUACGCUUCUCUUCCUCCAGGUUCCGGAGAUGCAACAACUUAGCUUUUUAUUUAUUUUCCUAACUUUUGUACCUGUGUAGUUUUGGCACUUUUAUUGUGAAUAAAAAUAUCUUUUGCUCAAGUAUUACAUGAAUCUUUCUGCGUUCUUUUGUUUGAACAUUUAUGCAAGUUUUCAUUUUUGCGUUCUUUCUCGCUUUAGUGUUUUGCGCAAGUUUUCUUUUUGCGUCUUUUAUCGUUUAAGUAUUUGCGCGAGUUUGCUUUUUGCAUUUUUUGUGCAAGGAUUUAGUUGUAUUUUUCCUCGAAGGCAUUUGAUUUCGGAGAUAAGUUCUUCUGAAAUUAACCCUUUAACCUAUGAGUUUUCAUAAGAGAGGGCCAUCUUAUAUUUAUGGUACUCUUGCAGAGGACGUCUCUUGUUCAUUACAGAACUAGCAUUUGAAGUACUUAUUUAACUUUUAAAUGACAAAAUCAGUUCAUCAUUCAGACAACAAACAAGAUAUAAAUAAAAGGGCUUUACUUUAUUUCUUCCAGUUUCAAAAAGUACAUAAACAUUCAUUAUGCUAAAAAGAAAUUGACAUUUCUUAUGGCUUAUUUGUGCAUAUUGUUUCUACGAGGCAUGUCGCAAAGUCCCCAGUCCCGAUGAUACAAUUAUGUUUCCAAUUUUCAUAUUCUGUUCACUGUGGAAAUCAUUAUUGCCAUAUCCUCAUAUCAUUCUCCCCCUAGUGUUCGAAUGCGAAGAAUGUGAACUUGAACACUGGAAGUUUUGCCUUUUUGAGGAUUCUACUAAUGAAUUGCCAGAUGCCCUUCAGUUCGGUAACAAACUUCACUUCCCCUUAGGAAUUUAUGCUAUUGAGCCAAAGACUAUCUAACAAUACCUUAGUGGUUUGCACUUGCAAAUGGUCGGGUAACCUUUAUUCGAUAGCAAACUUAACUUCCAGUAGGAAUUUUGUUAGCGAGCCAAAGGUUACCUAACCGCUCCAGAGUGGAUCUUUGCUUGUGUGGCUUGCUAUUAAAUGCCUUAUUGUUACUAUUGAUACCUUCUUCGUAGUAUGCUUGCAGUUGUUUCCUUGUUCAAAAUCUAGCAAGAAAAAUCCAGUUAGGACAAAACUGGACGAAGGGAAAAAGAGUACAGUACAUAACUUUCAGUACUUGUGAUGUUUAUUAUCAAUAAUAUCUCUUAAGGUGUGCCACAUUCCAGUUGCUUGGAAACUUUUUUCCAUCCUAAUUCUCCAACUCGUAUGAACCUUUCCCGGUGACAGCUGAAACCCGGUAGGGGCCUUCCCAGGUUUGACCUAGCUUUCCUGCGUUGAGUUUCGGGUUUUUUGGGUUACUUUACUUAAAACCAAGUCUCCCACUUUGAAAUAACGGAGGUUGGAUCUUCUAUUAUAAUAUCUCUCUAUUCUCAACUUUUGGGUUGUCAUUCUUAUAUGCGUCAAGUUCGUUCGCUCAUCGAGUAGCUCCAAGUUGACUAACAUCACCUCGUUGUUUGUCUCUUCACUUGCUUGGAAAUAUCUCAAGGUAGGCUCUCCUACUUCCACCGGGAUUAAGGCUUCUGCUCCGUAUACAAGGGAGAAAGGAGUUUCUCCUAUGCUUGAUUUGGCCAUUGUUUGGUACGUCCAUAGCAAUCCAGGAAGUUCCUUAGGUCAUGUACCUUUAGCCGCUUCCAACCUCUUCUUGAGAUUUUGUAUAAUCAUUUUGUUCAUUGAUUCCGCUUGACCAUUUGCGCUCGGAUGAUAGGGCAAAGAUGUGAUUAUUUUGACUUUCAAGUCUUCAAGGAACUUUGUGAUCUUUGCGCCUAUCAAAUGUGGCUCGUUAUCGCAGGCUAUCUCUUUUGGUUUUCCAAAUCUGCAAAUUAUUUUUUCCCACAAGAAAUCCACUACCUCAUGUUCGCCGAUCUUUUGAUAAGGACCUACUUCAACCCACUUAGAAAAAUAGUCUGUUAAAAUUAAAAUAAAAUCUUACCUUACCAGGGGCCGACGGUAGUGGUCCGGCGAUGUCCAUUCCUCACUUCAUGAACGACCAUGGAGAUAGAAUUGAGUGUAAUGGUUUUGCUGGUUGAUGUACUAGCGGAGCGUAACAUUGACACUUAUUGCAUUUUUGCACGAAAACUUUGGCGUCUUGUUCUAUUCGGGGUCAAUAGUGUCCUGCCCUUACCAGUUUUAGUACUAAGGAGUCCACACCUGAAUGAUUUCCACAUAUCCUUUCGUGGACUUCUCGUAUAACAUAAUUAGCUUCAGAGGCUCCCAAGCAUAGGACCAACAAGCCUUGGAAAGAUUUCCUUACAGUUGACCUCUUUUGAAGUUAUAUCGUGUUGCUUUGGUGCAUAGCGCCCGUAAUGCCUUGGAGUCUUCGGGCAACUUCCCGUGUUCGAGUUAAUCAAUGAUCUCAUUCCUCAAGUCCCAGAUCAAUUUAGUCGUAUUCACCUCAUAGUAGCUAUCUGCAUCCAAAAUCGAGUGCAUGAGCUGUACUACCGUCCCAAAAUCUGAUCCCUUCAUUUCCGUUGAUUAACCGAGUUUAGAGUGCAUCUACUUCUGUAUUUUCUUCCCUCGGGAUAUGCAUAAUUUACCACUCUCAGGAUCGAGCAAGUAGAGUUCAAACCUUCACUACGUAUUGAUGCAUGCUCUCCUCUUUGGUUUUGAGAAUCCCGUAGACCUGAUUUACCACUAGCUGGGAGUCACAUUUGAUUUCUAUGACCCCGGAAUCUAGUCUCCGGGCCAAUUUGAGUCCUACAAUCAAAGCUUCAUACUUUGCUUCAUUGUUAGUCAAAGGAUCCAUUCUUAUGGCUUUCCUUAGGGUUUCUCCCGAAGGCGUGGUUAACAUUAUGCCAAGACCCGACCCCUUUACAUUGGAAGCUCCAUCCGUAAAUAAGGUCCAAAUUUCUGAUGUCAAUUCUGACACUUUCACUACUUCUUUGGUUGCUAGAGGCAGCAAUCCCUGACUGAAAUCAGCCACGAAGUCGGCCAAAACCUACGACUUAAUGGUAGUCUUAGGUUUAUGCUCUAUGUCGAAUUCACUCAUUUAGACGACCCAUUUGGAUAAUCUACCUGAGAGUUCGGGUUUGUGAAGGAUAUUCCGCAGGGGAAAGGUAGUCACCACAUCUAUCAGGUGACACUAAAUAUAAGGCCUCAGCUUCCAAGCGGCGACUACGAGAGCUAAGGUCAACUUUUCCAAAUGCGGGUAGCAAGUUUUUGCUCCCGUUAAAAUUCUACUAACGUAAUAAAUGGGAGAUUGCUUACUAAAAUGGCGCUUAUCGCUACCUUUGAGACCACUAGGCAGAUUAACAAUGUUUCCCCUUCCUCCUGCUUUGAUAGUAUUGGAGGGCUUGGCAAAUACCUCUUCAAAUCCCUCAAAGCAAUUACUAGGUGAAAACCCCUCUAAAAAAGCUCCAAAAUCACCCAAAAUAUAAGAGAAAUGGGUUAUAAAUGGCUUAAAUCCCUUAAUAAAAUGAAGCCUUCUGCCUCCAGGACUUCCGCAUCUGCGGUCAUUGCGCCGCAUCUGUGGGACAAGGUCCGCUUAUGCGGAAUUCCUCAGGUGCAACACUGGCCGCUUAUGUAGACGGGAUCCCGCUUCUGCACACGUUUCUCCACUUCUGCGGACCACUGGCCAAAUGCCCCAAAGCCGCUUCUGUAGCCACAAGCUCGCAUCGGCGGGCUCGUAGGUGCGGGCACACCAGAACUGGUGCACUAGCAGCCCCCUUGAGUUCUAAUUCGAUCUGUGCAUUAUCUGGAUUGCACCAGAGGCCUCCCGAGGCCUCAUCAAACAUACCAACAAGUUCGUAAAUAUGAGACGGGCUUGAUCAAACCCUUGGAACGUGGAUAACAACACCAAAACUAAGAAUCACACCCCAAACCAAAUAGAAUCAACUUAUGAACUUCAAGUUUUUCCAACUCGCUUCGAGCGCGCUGAAUCAUACUUAAACUACUCGAAAUGACUCCCAUUUUUGCGUGCAAGUCUUAAAUUACCAUACAGAACUAUCCCCAGGCUCGGAAUCCCAAAAGAACCUCGAUAACACCAAAACCUACUCCAAACAAAAUUUAAAGAACUUUAAAACCUUUAAUGAGCCAACUUUCACUAUUAAGCGUCGAAACGCUCCCGGGUCAUCCAAAAUAUGAUCUGAACAUACGGCCAAGUCCAAAAUCAUCAUACAAACCUAUUAGAGCCAUCGAAUCCCGAUUUCGAGAUUGUUUACUAAAAAUGUUGACUCAAGUCAAACUUAGCUCUUUUUGGCAAGUAUUAAGGAACCUAGUGUUCCGAUUUCAAUCCGAACCCUUCCAAGCCCGAAUUAACCAUCCCUACAAGUCAUAAAAUAGUAAAAGCACAUACGGGGAAUCUUAUUUAGGGGAACAUGGAUCUAGAAAGCAAAAUAAUCGGUCGGGUCAUUACACUCCCGAGUUAGAAUCUUAUCAGGUGCCAAGAUAUUUCCUGGUACCAGAAGAGACAGACUCAACGAAAUCCACAGCGGAAGAGCUUGAGCAAGUCGCAUUGUUAGAAAAGUUCUUGGAGAGGAAACUCCACUUGGGGACAUGAUUGCAUUCUGAGCUGUUUGAUAACAAGAUGUUUGAAAAACUUAUAAGGAAAACCGUGGAAGUUUAUAUAGGCGAUAUGCUUGUAAAGUCUUUGAACGUGGGUGAUCAUCUUAAGCAUUUACAAGAAACUUUUUACAUCUUAAAGGAGCAUAACAUGAAGCUUAACACCAAGAAAUGCGCGUUCGGGGUCAGCUCUGGCAAGUUCCUAGGAUUUUUGGUAUCACAAAGGGGGAUUGAGGUAAACCCUGACAAAAUCAAAGCCAUCCCAGACAAGCUAUCAAGCGUGAAAGAAGUUCAAAGGCUCACAAGGAGAUUGGUGGCUUUGACCAGGUUUAUUUCACGGCCAUCAGGGAAAUGCCACCGUUUCUUCACACUACUAAAAAGGAAAAAUAACUUUGAAUGGACCCCGAAAUGCCAGCAGGUGGGAGAAUAUUUCUGUAGAGGUUGACCAACUUAAAGAAGAACUUCAGCCUCUAGAGGCUUCCCUCAUUUUCAUGUAUAGUACGAGGAGAAAAACCUUGGAAAGGGCCAAAGCGGGUGUCACAACCCCAACCGAUGGGCCGCGACGGGUGCCCGAGUCUUACUUGUCAAACGCCCCUAAGCAUGCAUCUAAGAUAUGAACCUGAAUAACAUCUAUUGAAUUACGAAAAUAGCAUACAUGAAAGAAACCUUCCUACAAGGAAUAUGUACGUAUACAGGAAGAAUACAGUGGGCGAGCCGGCAAGGCUGCUAUAGACAACUAUACAUCCAGAACUGAAAGCCGACAAGGACACAUACAACCCAACUAGACAUACUGUCUAAAGACCUUAAAUAGAAACAUAACUGUACAAAGACAGGACUGAGCCACACCAUACCCAUAUACAUAUAUAAACAUAUCAUACCAAAAUCAAAANNNNNNNNNNNNNNNNNNNNNNNNNNNNNNNNNNNNNNNNNNNNNNNNNNNNNNNNNNNNNNNNNNNNNNNNNNNNNNNNNNNNNNNNNNNNNNNNNNNNNNNNNNNNNNNNNNNNNNNNNNNNNNNNNNNNNNNNNNNNNNNNNNNNNNNNNNNNNNNNNNNNNNNNNNNNNNNNNNNNNNNNNNNNNNNNNNNNNNNNNNNNNNNNNNNNNNNNNNNNNNNNNNNNNNNNNNNNNNNNNNNNNNNNNNNNNNNNNNNNNNNNNNNNNNNNNNNNNNNNNNNNNNNNNNNNNNNNNNNNNNNNNNNNNNNNNNNNNNNNNNNNNNNNNNNNNNNNNNNNNNNNNNNNNNNNNNNNNNNNNNNNNNNNNNNNNNNNNNNNNNNNNNNNNNNNNNNNNNNNNNNNNNNNNNNNNNNNNNNNNNNNNNNNNNNNNNNNNNNNNNNNNNNNNNNNNNNNNNNNNNNNNNNNNNNNNNNNNNNNNNNNNNNNNNNNNAGUACGAAAAAUGUACUGAGUGUGUAAUGCAUGAAAAUUAGUAUAUAAAAGACAUAGACGAAAAAUGGAAUAAAGAAACACAUCUUUUAAAUCUGAAUAACUUUGUAAAUUUUUAAAACAUUUUAUAAUGUCAUGCACGUGACAUAUAAAUGUCGUGUCAUGCAUAGGUAUAAUUGUACAUAAUAUCAUCAAGCCACUGAGGGCAUUCCAUAAUAUCGCCUCAGCCACUGAGGGCAUUCCAUAAUAUCGCCUCAGCCACUGUGGGCAACAUCAUCAACAUAUACCAGCUGAUCAGGUGGUGGUGCGUAUAUAACGCCGUAAUCUUUUCCCACAUCCCAUAUACAUAUAUUUACAUAUAUACGCAUAUAUAACUCCAUAUGGUCAUGGGUAAAUGCACAUGUUUAAAUGGGUGAAAUGCAUGAAAAAUACGUAAUAAUUUCAAUAUUGCUUCCCGAUAAACUUUUUCAACUGCGUAUUAUUCUGAGACCCAUGAACAGAAGAUAAUAAUAAUUUUCAUGGGGAAUCAAGAAUAUAGCCACCCCUAAUAUUUCUAUAAAAAGAAUAAUUUAUGAAAAUUAUGUGUUUGCUCAUUUCUUAGGUAUAAUUUGGAUCAUGCCAAAAGAAAGAAGGGAUGACCUUAACAUACGUGGAGUAGGAAAAACUCCGUAUAAUAUUCCUGGCGAAGACUGCACCGUACUCUUUUAGAAGCUUGAAAUUUGCUUCAACAUAAUUUAGCUACGGACCAUGCGAAAUUAUCUUUUGAUUCCUUAGAAUCUCGAACGAAAUUUGCUUCGAACUUUGCUUCUAUUCUAACGCUUUGUGAACCCAAGAUGGAAUGGAUUCAAUCUAAAUGUCAAACUUUAUUCCAACAUUUUGUUGAAGUUGCUUCUGUUUCUAGCUUUUGAAUGGAAUUGAAUACUAAAUUGUUAUAUCACAUUUAUGGGUUGUUCAAAUUCCUACAAUGAGAUAAAGACUUAGAAGUCUUAUUUUGAUAAAGUUAAGCUUUAUUUAUUUCUUAGGGGUAGACACCUAUUCACAAUUUGUUAUGAGUCAUCUUUUAAAUUGGUGGCCUUAUGCAACGUGGAGAGUAGGGUGAAGAUUAGUAAUAUUUACCCACUUACUAGUUAACUGGGUAAUAUCCUGUUACCCGGUAAUUAACCAAUUACCCGCAUAAUUUAAAAAUUAUCCCAAAUUACUUAAGAUUCUACUUAUUACUAUUUUAUUAUUAUACUUUAUAUAUACUUUUGCAUUAUAUUACCGUGUUUAUAUGGUACCUUAUAUGGUACUAGUUCAUAAUUAUCGGGUAUUGCCCGACCCAUAUUUUAUCCCAAAUUGGCCACUUUCAAUGAAACUCGCUUUCUUUAAUUCGUGUACCCAUUAUCCUUCAUGACACUUCUUUAUCACUUGUUAUAAAUAGCGUAAAUACAUUAAUGUCAAGAUGAUCUCAUCCCCGAGUCCACUUCAAUUAACUAAAGACCAAACUUGUAACGUACGAAAACGCGAGAUGUAACAUCUUUCCCCCCUUAGAAACAUUCGUCCUCGAAUGUUCAACUCCCCGUGAUCUAUAUAAAUUUGGCAGGAUCGCCUUUAUAACAACACCACUACCACCGUAGAAGCUUAAUAACCCAACACCACACAGAACCAUAAUUAUGAAUAACGACAAUGGCCUUAUAUGGCCAACGACAAUAACCAAUAUAAGAAUUUAUACACGUACCUUAUGGUUAUGAUGUCUCAGUUAGAACCUUCUCUGGAGGAGAAAAUAAGUAGGGAUAUUUAGACUUCAUGUCUUUCUCGGCCUCCCAAGUCAUUUCUUCCACCUUGUUGUUCCUCCAAAGUAUUUUCACGGAGGCUACCUCCUUAUUCCGCAGCUUGCGGAUUUGUCGGUCUAAGAUGGAAACCAAAAUUUCCUCGUAUGACUGAUUUCAGGUACCGGGACUAGUGAGCUGUAAUUUUCCGAGAUUCGGUACUUCAUGGAAAUUGUUGGAUAAGACCUGAUGUGAAUACUGUCGUAGGACCUGAGUUAUUGCUUACCUUUAAUGUAUUGUGAAUUUAGGAUUUGGGUUUGUGUUUUCGCUCGCCCUUCUAUGUCAUUAUUUUGGUAUUUUCGAUGUUACUUGCUGUAUUCUCCCCUUAUUGUGAUUGUAGUAUUGUUAGCCAUUUUGUGUAGUCUUUAUAUAUACAUCAUGUUCCAUUGUUCCUAUAUUUGUACAGUUUAUUGGACCGGUAGGUGUCUUGAUUGUUCCUCGCCACUACUCCAGCGAGGUUAGUCUUGAUACUUACUAGGCACCGUUGUGGUAUGCUCAUGCUACACUUCUGCACAUUUUUGUUAUGCAGAUCCAGGUACUUCCACUCAACCUUAUCAUCCUUGAGGCGAGGUGCUUCUAUAGAGACUUCGAGGUAUAUCUGCCGCGUCCACAGACCAAGGAGUCCCUUUCUAUCUUUCUGUAAUAGUAUAGCCCUUCAGUAGUUUUCCUUUUUGUUAGACAUUCCUGGAGUUGGAGCUUUUUAUGUAUCUCUUAGCUUGUGAUUCAUGGGGUUCCGGAUUUUGGGAGUGUUAGGUUGAGACUUUGUACUGUUAUGUGCCAGGCGGCAUCUUAAACACUAUUUUAUUUUACUAUUUCGGUUUUUAAAUUAUUUCUUCUGCAAUUGUUGUUUAUAUUCCUCCUUGUUAGGAUUACCUAGUCGUAGAGACUAGGUGCCGUCAUGAUGGUUCACGAAGGGUGAACGGGGGUCGUGACAAGUUGGUAUCAGAGCUCUAGGUUUAUAGGAGUCAUGAAUUACAAGCCGGUUUAUUAGAGUCUCGUGGAUCGGUACAAAGACGUUUGUACUUAUCUGCGAGAGGCUAUGUAACUGUUAGGAAAAUUCCACUUCAUUUGAUUUCCUUGUCGUGUGAAAUUUUGAUGUCACAAUUCUAAACUUCUGUCUUCUAUUCUCUCACAGAUGGUGAGGACACGUACUAACCGAGAUGAUAGGGCACCCGUGCCCCCUACUAAAGUCGU
Molecule: long non-coding RNA, 18492 nt
Filed under: Nicotiana tabacum (common tobacco)
Lineage: Eukaryota; Viridiplantae; Streptophyta; Magnoliopsida; Solanales; Solanaceae
Description: long non-coding RNA (NTAB_LNC009918)
Source: RNAcentral